This 394-nucleotide ribosomal RNA is filed under the name uncultured bacterium. RNAcentral's name for it is "bacterial SSU rRNA". It matches the Rfam family "Bacterial small subunit ribosomal RNA", at positions 29 to 428 of the family's 1533-position model. The record is from RNAcentral.
AUUGAACGCUGGCGGAAUGCUUUACACAUGCAAGUCGAGCGGCAGCGCGGGGCAACCUGGCGGCGAGCGGCGAACGGGUGAGUAAUGCAUCGGAACGUACCCCGUCGUGGGGAAUAACUACCCGAAAGGGUAGCUAAUACCGCAUACGACCUGAGGGUGAAAGCGGGGGACCGAAAGGCCUCGCGCGAUGGGAGCGGCCGAUGCCGGAUUAGCUAGUUGGUAGGGUAAAGGCCUACCAAGGCGACGAUCCGUAGCUGGUCUGAGAGGACGACCAGCCACACUGGAACUGAGACACGGUCCAGACUCCUACGGGAGGCAGCAGUGGGGAAUUUUGGACAAUGGGCGAAAGCCUGAUCCAGCCAUUCCGCGUGAGUGAAGAAGGCCUCGGUUGUAA